RNAcentral lists this transfer RNA (72 nucleotides) under archaeon. Its description in RNAcentral is "tRNA-Val". It matches the Rfam family "tRNA". Rfam says of the family: Transfer RNA (tRNA) molecules are approximately 80 nucleotides in length. The record is from RNAcentral.
AGGGGAGUGGUCUAGUGGUAUGAUGCGACCUUCACAUGGUCGAGAUUGGGAGUCCGAUUCUCCCCUCCCCUA